Molecule: ribosomal RNA, 484 nt
Filed under: uncultured bacterium
Lineage: Bacteria
Description: partial 16S ribosomal RNA
Rfam family: Bacterial small subunit ribosomal RNA
Source: RNAcentral
AUUGAACGCUGGCGGCAUGCUUUACACAUGCAAGUCGAACGGCAGCGCGGGCUUCGGCCUGGCGGCGAGUGGCGUACGGGUGAGUAAUACAUCGGAACGUGCCCAGUAGUGGGGGAUAGCUCGGCGAAAGCCGGAUUAAUACCGCAUACGACCUGAGGGUGAAAGCGGGGGAUCUUCGGACCUCGCGCUAUUGGAGCGGCCGACGGCAGAUUAGCUAGUUGGUGGGGUAAAGGCCUACCAAGGCGACGAUCUGUAGCUGGUCUGAGAGGACGACCAGCCACACUGGGACUGAGACACGGCCCAGACUCCUACGGGAGGCAGCAGUGGGGAAUUUUGGACAAUGGGCGAAAGCCUGAUCCAGCAAUGCCGCGUGUGUGAUGAAGGCCUUCGGGUUGUAAAGCACUUUUGGCGGGAACGAAAAGGACUGUGCCAAUACCACGGUUCGAUGACGGUACCCGCAGAAUAAGCACCGGCUAACUACGUG